GGGUGCGUGGCGCAAUGGCUAGCGUGUUUGGCUUCGAUGCUUCUCACGGAUGACACCAAAAGGCUGCAGGUUCGAGUCCUGCCGUGCUCA
Mycena albidolilacea is the source of this 90-nucleotide non-coding RNA. The record is from the annotation of a GenBank genome assembly. NCBI's taxonomy places the organism in Eukaryota, Fungi, Basidiomycota, Agaricomycetes, Agaricales, Mycenaceae.